GCAUCUCCCUUACACUGAGAAGUCACCCGUGCAAGUCCGGUCGCCCUGA
RNAcentral lists this transfer RNA (49 nucleotides) under Psychrolutes phrictus (blob sculpin). RNAcentral describes it as "partial tRNA-Val". Lineage: Eukaryota; Metazoa; Chordata; Actinopteri; Perciformes; Psychrolutidae. The record is from RNAcentral.